UACGUAGGGGGCAAGCGUUGUCCGGAUUUAUUGGGCGUAAAGAGCGUGUAGGCGGCUAGGUAGGUGGGUUGUGAAAACUGGAGGCUUAACCUUCAGACGUCGAUGGAAACCGUGCGGCUAGAGUCCGGAAGAGGAGAAUGGAAUUCCUGGUGUAGCGGUGAAAUGCGCAGAUAUCAGGAGGAACACCGAUGGCGAAGGCAGGUCUCUGGGCCACUACUGACGCUGAGAAGCGAAAGCAUGGGGAGCGAACAGG
This 253-nucleotide ribosomal RNA is filed under the name uncultured bacterium. RNAcentral's name for it is "partial 16S ribosomal RNA". It matches the Rfam family "Bacterial small subunit ribosomal RNA", at positions 524 to 776 of the family's 1533-position model. The record is from RNAcentral.